AUUGAACGCUGGCGGCAGGCCUAACACAUGCAAGUCGAGCGGAUGAAGGCUGCUUUUUUCUGGUUUUAGCGGGGGACGGGUGUGUGUUGCCUAUGAAUCUCCCUGGCUGUGCGGUAUGACAUCUUCACACGGGUGCUGCUACCGCAUACGUCCUGAUUCAGCAAGUUGGUGAUCUUCGGACCUCUCCCUCUCUGCUGAGCCUACGUCGGAUUUGCUAGUUUGUUGGGUAAAGGCCUACCAAGGCGACGAUCCGUAGCUGGUCUGAGAGGAUGAUCAGUCACACUGGGACUGAGACACGGUACAGACGCAUACGGGAGGCAGCAGUGGGGAAUAGGGGGCAAAGGGCGAAAGACUGAGCAAGCAAUGCCGAGGGUGGGAAGAAGGACUUCGGAUUGUAAAGGACGUUGAGUGGGGAGGAACGGCAGUAAGUGGAUACCUGGCUGGAGUGACGGUAACAACAGAAGAAGCACAGGCUAACUACGUG
Molecule: ribosomal RNA, 484 nt
Filed under: uncultured bacterium
Lineage: Bacteria
Description: partial 16S ribosomal RNA
Rfam family: Bacterial small subunit ribosomal RNA
Source: RNAcentral